CGAUGAAGGCCUUCGGGUUGUAAAGCCCUUUUAAUGGGGGAAGAGAAAAAGGACGGUACCCCAUGAAUAAGUCCCGGCUAACUACGUGCCAGCAGCCGCGGUAAAACGUAGGGGACAAGCGUUAUCCGGAUUCACUGGGCGUAAAGAGCGUUGAGGCGGUUCCGUAAGUUGGGCGUGAAAGCUCCGGGCUUAACCCGGAGAUGUCGUUCAAUACUGCGGGGCUGAGGACAGCAGAGGAAGGUGGAAUUCCCGGUGUAGUGGUGAAAUGCGUAGAUAUCGGGAGGAACACCCGUGGCGAAGGCGGCCUUCUGGGCUGUUCCUGACGCUGAAGGCGAAAGCUAGGGGAGCGAACGGGAUUAGAUACCCCGGUAGUCCUAGCUGUAAACGAUGGAUGCUGGGUGUGGGGGGUGUAAAUUCCCUCUGUGCCGAAGCAAACGCGUUAAGCAUCCCGCCUGGGGACUACGGCCGCAAGGCUAAAACUCAAACGAAUGGACGGGGCCCGCACAAGCAGCGGAGCGUGUGGUUUAAUUCGAUGCUACACGAAGAACCUUACCUGGGUUUGACAUGCACGUGGUAGGAUACCGAAAGGGGACCGACCUUCGGGAGCGUGAACAGGGUGCUGCAUUGGCUGUCGUCGAGCCUCGUGCCGGUGGAGGUGUCGGGGUUAUAGUCCCGUAACGAGCGCAACCCUUGCCCUUAGUUACAAGUGUCUAAGGGGACUGCCCGGGACAACUGGGAGGAAGGUGGGGAUGACGUCAAGUCAGCAUGGCCUUUAUAUCCAGGGCUACACACACGCUACAAUGGCCAGUACAAUAGGUAGCCAAGUCGUGAGACGGAGCCAAUCUUUAAAGCUGGUCUCAGUUCGAAUUGCAGUCUGCAACUCGACUGCAUGAAGCU
RNAcentral lists this ribosomal RNA (897 nucleotides) under uncultured Chloroflexota bacterium. RNAcentral's name for it is "bacterial SSU rRNA". It matches the Rfam family "Bacterial small subunit ribosomal RNA", at positions 406 to 1327 of the family's 1533-position model. Lineage: Bacteria; Bacillati; Chloroflexota. The record is from RNAcentral.